CACAACUUAGUUGAUAAGACGAUUCUCUUUCAAGUAAUAGAUCGAGAGUUCGUCACUUAAUCUACGUGAGCAGUAAUUCUAAAAAAAAUAAAAAUUAAUUGUCCCUUCAUGGGCAUGGAAUCGAUGAGGCUCAGUCAACUCUAAAGUAUUGAAUUAGUUAAGCUUGAAUACGAACAUAGUUAAGCUAUCAAAGCAACUCUAACUGUUUGCUUGCUAAACUUUUCUAUUUCUUGUUAACUAUAAAUGAUCAGAUUAAAGCAUAUUUGUGACCAAGAAAAGGGAUUAGAUUCUAGCUUGUUGCUGGUUGAAGAUGAAAGUGGAGUGAAGAUAUGAGAACAAUAAAUUAAAUACAAAGCAGCUGAUUAGGAUAAGUGGUUUUGGGUAUUUUUUGUUUUUUAAUUUGCUAAUGUAGUUGCGAGACCUAGAAUUUCUUCACUUUGUUUCUGCUCUCUCUCUCUAUCUUGUUUUUCAAUGUUUGUUAUAACAUAUUUCUAAGAGGCAUGGUGGUUCAAUUAAAUAAUGGGGGUUAGGGAAGACUGUGAUAGACGAUAAGUCAAUGAGGUUUGUCUUAUAUGUAUAUAUCGUUCUUGCAGGGGAGCUGCGGUGGAACUUGUGGAGCCUUGACAUGUAGGUGUUUGCAAGGGGAACCUUGUAUGAAUUAUGUUUAUUGUACUGACUAGUUUGGGUUGGGUGUUGGCAUGCAAUACCAUAAUCCUUCCUAAUGUCCUUAAAAAACAGCCUUAUGUGAGAGAUAAACUUUAAAUUCUGGAUAUCACAAUGCUAGGAAUUCUUAUUUGUUGUGUAUAAUUUAAUUUAUAAUUGUUUCUCUUUGUUGUCAACAAUUCAUGGAGCUUCACGAUGUCACAUGAUGAAAUGGAUAUCACAAUGCUAGGAACUCAGAUUUCAGUGAUGAAAUGGACAAGGAACUUAGCCAAAUGAGUGCGGCAGCUGGGCUAAGGAGGCUGAUGUUAUGAGAAGCAAAUUGGAGACGGCGAAAGAGAGGAAGCUGAUGCUCGCUGCUGAAGUUCGGUUUCUACGGAAAAGGCAUAUAUACCUUGUGAAGACGAAGGAUGCGAAUUCACCUGUGCAAGAACAAAAUCUUGUACAAGCGCCAAACUCACUAAAGCGUGCUAAAAUCACAAAGCAGCAGCUUCUGAAUGGAAAAGAAGCGAGCCGGCAUAGAUUGCCUUCAGCUCCAGUACCCAUCUCCAAGAAGAAACGAGUUGCUCUGCCGAUGCUUCAUGUAGUAAAACAUGUAUUAACAGGCAACUUGUGUAGCUCGAAUUGUUGGAUGCUAUGUUAUAUAUGCUAAUAUUAUCUUGUCAAUGUUAUUUUAUUA
This is a long non-coding RNA of Salvia miltiorrhiza (redroot sage), 1339 nucleotides long. RefSeq lists it as uncharacterized. The transcript is spliced from 3 exons. Lineage: Eukaryota; Viridiplantae; Streptophyta; Magnoliopsida; Lamiales; Lamiaceae. The record is from RefSeq and is a predicted model, not a curated record.